GUGGAGCCUGCGGUUUAAUUGGACUCAACGCCGGGCAGCUCACCGGAUAGGACAGCGGAAUGAUAGCCGGGCUGAAGACCUUGCUUGACCAGCUGAGAGGAGGUGCAUGGCCGUCGUCAGUUCGUACUGUGAAGCAUCCUGUUUAGUCAGGCAACGAGCGAGACCCACGCCAACAGUUGCUAGCAUGUUCUCCGGAAUGAUGAGGACACUGUUGGGACCGCCUCUGCUAAAAGAGGAGGAAGGAAUGGGCAACGGUAGGUCAGCAUGCCCCGAAUUAUCCGGGCUACACGCGGGCUACAAUGGUCAGGACAAUGGGAAACGGCACUGAAAAGUGCAGUCAAUCUCCUAAACCUGUCCCAAGUUCGGAUUGUGGGCUGCAACUCGCCCACAUGAAGCUGGAAUCCGUAGUAAUCGCGUUUCAAAAUAGCGCGGUGAAUAAGUCCCUGCUCCUUGCACACACCGCCCGUCAAACCAUCUUAGUGAGGUUUGGAUGAGGCUGUGGUUAACUGCCACAGUCGAAUCUAGUUUUCGCAAGGAGGGUUAAGUCGUAACAAGGUAGCCGUAAUCACUAGUGCG
Molecule: ribosomal RNA, 576 nt
Filed under: uncultured archaeon
Lineage: Archaea
Description: bacterial SSU rRNA
Rfam family: Archaeal small subunit ribosomal RNA
Source: RNAcentral